GAUGAACGCUGGCGGCGUGCCUAAUACAUGCAAGUCGAGCGAACAGACGAGGAGCUUGCUCCUCUGACGUUAGCGGCGGACGGGUGAGUAACACGUGGAUAACCUACCUAUAAGACUGGGAUAACUUCGGGAAACCGGAGCUAAUACCGGAUAAUAUAUUGAACCGCAUGGAUCAAUAGUGAAAGACGGCUUUGCUGUCACUUAUAGAUGGAUCCGCGCCGCAUUAGCUAGUUGGUAAGGUAACGGCUUACCAAGGCAACGAUGCGUAGCCGACCUGAGAGGGUGAUGGGCCACACUGGAACUGGGACACGGUCCAGACUCCUACGGGAGGCGGCAGUAGGGAAUCUUCGGCAAUGGGCGAAAGCCUGACGGAGCACCGCGGCGUGAGUGAUGAAGGUCUUCGGAUCGUAAAACUCUGUUAUUAGGGAAGAACAAAUGUGUAAGUAAAUAUGCACGUCUUGACGGUACCUAAUCAGAAAGCCACGGCUAACUACGUG
RNAcentral lists this ribosomal RNA (497 nucleotides) under uncultured bacterium. RNAcentral's name for it is "partial 16S ribosomal RNA". It matches the Rfam family "Bacterial small subunit ribosomal RNA", at positions 28 to 507 of the family's 1533-position model. The record is from RNAcentral.